GGGGACUGCCUGUCCAGAUCUGGAUCUGAGCAGGUUGACUGAGCUCCCGCCUAGAUGUCCUGCCAGCAAACCCAGCAGCCAUGCCAGCCUUCUCUUAAAGGGCCCACAACUAAGUGCCCCCCAAAGUGUCCCCCCAAGGACCCUCCCAAGAUGCCCUGCUCCAGUCUCUUCCUGCUGUGGCCCUAGCACCAGGGGUGUUGUGGUCUCAACUAACAGUGGCAUCAGAGCUCCAGCUGUUGCCAUUGCUUUGGGCCUGCUCCCCGCCUGGGCUCUGAGCAUCAGUUGAGUGACUGAGAGGCCAGUGACUGACCCUAGCCUUGUGCUUCUCUUCCUCAGUCCCUUUCCAUCCCUGAUGCGCUCUUACCUGC
RNAcentral lists this long non-coding RNA (368 nucleotides) under Equus caballus (horse). RNAcentral's name for it is "lncRNA (ENSECAG00000057646.1)". Lineage: Eukaryota; Metazoa; Chordata; Mammalia; Perissodactyla; Equidae. The record is from RNAcentral.